UUGUUACUACAUAAAAUAAUUUAGUUUUAUAUAUUAAUAUAAUUAAUUUAAUAAUUAAAAAAGUAUUUUGAUACCUUUAGCAUCAUGUAUAAAUAAAAUUUUAAUAUAAUAUUAUUCUCGAAUAAAUAAAAAUUAUCAUUUUAAUAUUAUAAAAGUAACAUAUUUUUAUAUAAUAAAAUGAUUAAGAUGAUAUGUCAUUAUUUGUUUAGUUCUUGUUAGGUUUAAUAAAUUUAAAAUUUAAUAUUUGAAAAAUGUAUUUACAAAAAGAUAAGUUUUUGUAAAUAAAAUUAAACUAAAUACUACUAUUUAUAAAAUAAAAAUAAUAAUGUUAAUUAGAAAAUUUAAAAAUUCUUAAUAAAAUUAAUUUAAAGUUUAUACUAAUACCUAAAAGAUUUCAAUUAUAAAUAUCUAUAAAAUAUAUUUAUAUAAGUAGUUAAUUAGUAAAUUUUUAUCAAUUAUUUAAUGUUAAUAUUAAAAAUAAAAUUUGUUAAAAAUUACUCGUCAUACUAAAUUUAGCCUGUUUAACAAAAACAUCUUAGAUUAUUUCUAUAUUACCUGCUCAAUGAUAAAAUUUAAUAGCCGCAUUUGUGCUAAGGUAGCAUAGUAAUUAGUUUUUUAAUUGAAAAAUAGAAUGAAUGGUUUCACUAAAAUUAAAUAUUUAUUAAAUAAAAUGAAAUUUAAAUUUAAGUGAAAAUUCUUAAAUAAAAUUUUUAGACGAGAAGACCCUAUGAAACUGAAGAUAAAAUUUUAUAUUAUAAUUUAUUAAGAAUCUAUUUUUUGGGGAAAAAUUUAAUAAGUUUAUUUUUAUUUUUUAAUAAAAAAGAUCCUUUAGGAAUAUUGAAUUAGUUCCUCUAGGGAUAACAGCAUAAUAUUUAUAAAAGUUCUUAUUAGAAUAAAUGUUUGUGACCUCGAUGUUGAAUUAGAUAUCUAUAUUUGUGCAGAAGCUAAUAAUAGUAUGGUCUGUUCGACCUUUAAUAUCUACAUGAUUUGAGUUAAAAUCGACGUGAGUCAGAUUGGUUUCUAUCUAAAAUUUAUAUCUAAAUAUUUAGUACGAAAGGAAUUAUA
Molecule: ribosomal RNA, 1065 nt
Filed under: Undinula vulgaris
Lineage: Eukaryota; Metazoa; Arthropoda; Copepoda; Calanoida; Calanidae
Description: 16S ribosomal RNA
Rfam family: Archaeal large subunit ribosomal RNA (bases 857-1015)
Source: RNAcentral